This 381-nucleotide unclassified non-coding RNA is filed under the name Saccharomyces cerevisiae (brewer's yeast). RNAcentral describes it as "sequence contains 18S rRNA gene, ITS1 and 5.8S rRNA gene". The record is from RNAcentral. Lineage: Eukaryota; Fungi; Ascomycota; Saccharomycetes; Saccharomycetales; Saccharomycetaceae.
AGGAUCAUUAAAGAAAUUUAAUAAUUUUGAAAAUGGAUUUUUUUGUUUUGGCAAGAGCAUGAGAGCUUUUACUGGGCAAGAAGACAAGAGAUGGAGAGUCCAGCCGGGCCUGCGCUUAAGUGCGCGGUCUUGCUAGGCUUGUAAGUUUCUUUCUUGCUAUUCCAAACGGUGAGAGAUUUCUGUGCUUUUGUUAUAGGACAAUUAAAACCGUUUCAAUACAACACACUGUGGAGUUUUCAUAUCUUUGCAACUUUUUCUUUGGGCAUUCGAGCAAUCGGGGCCCAGAGGUAACAAACACAAACAAUUUUAUUUAUUCAUUAAAUUUUUGUCAAAAACAAGAAUUUUCGUAACUGGAAAUUUUAAAAUAUUAAAAACUUUCAA